Molecule: ribosomal RNA, 270 nt
Filed under: uncultured bacterium
Lineage: Bacteria
Description: partial 16S ribosomal RNA
Rfam family: Bacterial small subunit ribosomal RNA
Source: RNAcentral
CGAGCGGGGAGUAGCAAUACUUCGCCGGCGACCGGCGCACGGGUGAGUAACACGUGUGCAACCAACCCCGUACCGGGAGAUAACCCGCGGAAACGUGGACUAACAUCCCAUGACACCUUUUCCCCGCAUGGGGGAGAGUUUAAAACCCCGGUGGUACGGGACGGGCACGCGCGACAUUAGGUAGUUGGCGGGGUAAGGGCCCACCAAGCCGACGAUGUCUAGGGGUUCUGAGAGGAAGGUCCCCCACACUGGAACUGAGACACGGUCCAG